AAAGCAACAGGAGGAGACAUUGAUGAAGGUGAAUGAUCGGGUCACAGUCAAAACGGAUGGCGGCCCUCGUCGUCCUGGCGUGGUACUGGCGGUAGAAGAAUUUAACGAAGGCACAAUGUACCUGGUUUCGCUGGAAGACUACCCGCUCGGUAUCUGGUUCUUUAAUGAGUCAGGGCACCCGGAUGGUAUUUUUGUCGAGAAA
This 202-nucleotide unclassified non-coding RNA is filed under the name Escherichia fergusonii ATCC 35469. Its description in RNAcentral is "DsrB". Lineage: Bacteria; Pseudomonadati; Pseudomonadota; Gammaproteobacteria; Enterobacterales; Enterobacteriaceae. The record is from RNAcentral.